UACGAAUGGGGCAAGCGUUGUUCGGAAUCACUGGGCUUAAAGCGUGCGCAGGCGGAUUUGCAAGUCAGAAGUGAAAUCCCGGGGCUUAACCCCGGAAUUGCUUUUGAAACUGCAAAUCUAGAAUCCCGGAGAGGUUAGGAGAAUUCCGAGUGUAGAGGUGAAAUUCGCAGAUAUUCGGAGGAAUACCAGUGGCGCAGGCGCCUAACUGGACGGGCAUUGACGCUCAGGCACGAAAGCGUGGGGAGCAAACAGG
Molecule: ribosomal RNA, 253 nt
Filed under: uncultured bacterium
Lineage: Bacteria
Description: partial 16S ribosomal RNA
Rfam family: Bacterial small subunit ribosomal RNA
Source: RNAcentral